Molecule: ribosomal RNA, 621 nt
Filed under: uncultured bacterium
Lineage: Bacteria
Description: bacterial SSU rRNA
Rfam family: Bacterial small subunit ribosomal RNA
Source: RNAcentral
AAAAACUCCGGUGGUGUAAGAUGGAUCCGCGUCUGAUUAGCUGGUUGGCGGGGUAGAAGCCCACCAAGGCGACGAUCAGUAGCCGGCCUGAGAGGGUGAACGGCCACAUUGGGACUGAGACACGGCCCAAACUCCUACGGGAGGCAGCAGUGGGGAAUAUUGCACAAUGGGGGAAACCCUGAUGCAGCAACGCCGCGUGAGUGAAGAAGUCAUUCGUGAUGUAAAGCUCUAUCAGCAGGGAAGAAAAUGACGGUACCUGAGUAAGAAGCCCCGGCUAACUACGUGCCAGCAGCCGCGGUAACACGUAGGGGGCAAGCGUUAUCCGGAUUUACUGGGUGUAAAGGGAGCGUAGACGGCCAGACAAGUCUGAAGUGAAAAUCCAGCGCUUAACGUUGGAAGUGCUUUGGAAACUGCCGGGCUAGAGUGCAGGAGGGGCAGGCGGAAUUCCUAGUGUAGCGGUGAAAUGCGUAGAUAUUAGGAGGAACACCAGUGGCGAAGGCGGCCUGCUGGACUGCAACUGACGUUGAGGCUCGAAGGCGUGGGGAGCAAACAGGAUUAGAUACCCUGGUAGUCCACGCGGUAAACGAUGAUUACUAGGUGUCGGGGGGCUAGAGCCCUUCG